UAAUACGAAAUAGACUACUCGCCAGCAAA
RNAcentral lists this small RNA (29 nucleotides) under Bombyx mori (domestic silkworm). RNAcentral's name for it is "ovarian small RNA-19537". The record is from RNAcentral. Lineage: Eukaryota; Metazoa; Arthropoda; Insecta; Lepidoptera; Bombycidae.